This 3095-nucleotide long non-coding RNA is filed under the name Canis lupus familiaris (dog). RNAcentral describes it as "lncRNA (ENSCAFG00845002789.1)". Lineage: Eukaryota; Metazoa; Chordata; Mammalia; Carnivora; Canidae. The record is from RNAcentral.
GGUGACCCUGGUUCAGGGUCUCUCCUGAGGUAGGGUGCAUGACUUUGGUCCAGGUCUCUCCUGAGGUAGGGUGGGGGACUUUGGUCCGGUGCUCUCCUGAGGUACGGUGGGUGACUUUGGUCCAGCGUCUCUCCUGAGGUAGGGUGGGUGACUUUGGUCCGGGGUCCCUCCUGAGGUUUUGGUCACAUACUGUCUGGGCUGCAGUCCUUUGAGGAUAUGACCAGCUGGAGAGUCCAUUUCCAAGGACUUUUGUAUGUGUCUCCCUCACAUGGCUGGCUGCUGACCAGAGGCCUCAGUCCCUGUCAGGGCCUCUCCACCAGGCUCUUUGAGCAUCCCUGCUGCAUCCUCUAGAGUGAGCAUCCCAAAAGAGCCAAGCAGAAGCUCCCGAGCCUUUUAUGACCUGGUCUCAGAAGUCACAGCAUUACUUCCACCAUAUUCCAGUGGUCACACAGGCCAACCUAGAUUCAGUGUAAGAGCAGGCUACCCAAGGCCAAGCAUACCUGUACCAGAAGGGAUCACGAGGUCAUCUUGGAAGCUGGCUAGGACCUUGGAGGGAGGAGCCCUAUGAGACCAAAGCUUGGAUUUUUAAAGUGGGGUUGUUUGUUUUUGAGGGGCACCUGGGUGGCUCAGUCAGUUAAGCAUCUGCCUUUGGCUCGGGUCACGAUCCCAGAGUCUGGGAUCGAGCCCAUGUGUCAAUCUCCCUACUUAGCAGAGAGUCUGCUUCUCUCUCUCGCCCACCCCACUCAUGCUUUCUCUCAAAUAAAUAAUCUUUAAAAAAAAUAAAGUUUUAGGGUGAGUGAGUGGCUCAGUCGGUUGGGCAUCUGCCUUCAGCUCAGGUCAUGAUUCCUGGGAUCGAGUCCCAUGUUGGGCUCCCUGCUCAGUGGGGAGUCUGCUUCUCCCUCUGCCACUCCCCUGCUUGUUCUCUCUCUCUCUUUCUCUCUCAAAAAAUAAAUAUAAAUAUUUAAAAAUAAAUGAACUUUUAAGAAAUAAAGGUGUUUUUGGGGGGAGGGAUUGGAGAGCACACAAGCAGAGGAGGGGCAGAAGGAGAGAGAAUCUUAAGCAUGUUCACACCCAGUGCAGAGCAUGACUCAGGGCUCGAUUUCACCAUCCUGCGAUCAUGACCUAAGCCAAAAUCAAGCCUAACGCUUAACCGACUGAGCCACCCAGAUGCCUCUGCAGUGCUUGGAUCUUUGAUGUGUGUUGGCAGGAGGGUUGGAUCCUAAGCAGUUGAUGCUGGAAUUUCUAAGAAGGUGGGUGCAGAAAUGGUAGUGCUGGAGCCAAAAAUCUGCCCCUGCUGACUGUGCAGGAGGGCACAAGAAAGUCCCUUCCCUUUUUGCACUUCCAGGUCUCCCCCAGGUGGCCCCUAUUAGCAGGCCAACCUUAACAGGAAACCGGCUGCCAGGGAAGCCUGGGAAAUGUAGUUUUCAGCGGUCCAACAACAGCAUCACAGAAAGUGGGAGGGGAGUGGGUUUAGGGCUGAGACAGGGUAACUAGCACAGUCCACCCCAUUAGCUACCUGUCACCCAUACACAUCUUUCUACCAUAAUAAUUAUGGUACUCUUAACAACUUCAGGCUACCCCCAACUAGGAGCAAGGAUCCUUGUGCCUAGACACACCCUUCUCUUCCUAAAAGGGAGGGAUAGCAGCAUGCUAGAGUCAUAUCCAUCACUCAGAUUCCACUUGCUUGUUCCAUAACUAAAAUAGUGAAGUUCACCACCAAUAUCAUCAAAACGUUUACAUCAAAUAAGGGAAGGGAGGGUAGGUAGCUGAUGGACACACAAGCAAAGAAGAAAAUAUCCAGAGUUGCUGCAGCCCGUACUUCCAGAACUGGUUCUGAUGUCUUAAUUGGUUUUUAACACUUAAAAUGAGACACAAUUCACAUGCAAGUCACCUACUUCUAAAGUAGUUUCUAUGUCUUCAGAGCUGUGUGACCAUCACCAGUUUAAUUUUAGAACAUUUUCAUUGCCCGGAAGGAGAGCCUAUGCCUAUUAAGUCAUCUCUAAUACCCCACACACAUAGUUCAUCCGUCCCCCAGCCCUAGGCAACCCCUAAUCCGCUUUCUGUCUCGGGAGAUAGAUAUGCUUUGGUCAUUCAAUAUCUAGUCUUCUGUGCCUGAUCUUUCAGUAUAUUUUCAGGGUUCAUCCAUGUCCUAGCAUGUAUCAGUGCUUAAUCCCUUCUUGUACAGAAUAAUGUUCCAUUGUAUGGAUAUACCACUACUUAUCUGUUCAUCAGUUGGGCAUGUGAUCUGUUUCCAUUUAUUGGUUCUUAUGAACAAUGCCACUAAGAAACUUGGUGCAUGAGUUUUUGUGCAAAUACGUUUCCAUUUUACUUGGCUAUAUGUUCCAGAAUUUUGAGGGAACUUCCAAAUUGUUCUCGACAUCAGCUGUGCCAUUUUACAUUCCUACCAGCAAUGUGUGAGGGUUUCAACUUCUUCUGUCCUUGCUAACACUUAUUAUUGUCUGUCAUUUUUAUUACAGCCUUCCUUGGAAGUGUGAGGUGGUACCUUGUGGUUCUGAACCGCAUUCCCUUAAUGACCAAUGAUGUUGAUCACCUUUUCAUGUGCUCACUGGCCAUUAGUGUAUCUUCUCUAGAGGAAUGUCUGUUCAAGUCCUUUGCCCAUUUUUAUUUUUUUAAGAUUUUAUUUAUUUGACAAAGAGCACAAGCAGGGGGAGCAGCAGGCAGAGGGAGAGGGAGAAGCAGGCUCCCCACAGAGCAGGGAGCUCAACGCAGGGCUCAAUCCCAGGACCCCAGGUUCAUGAGCUGAGCCAAAGGUAGAUGCUUAACCGAACCACCCUGGCAACCCUCCUUUGCCUAUUUUUAAUUGGAUUAUCUCUCUUUUUAUUAUUGAGUUGUAAGUGUUCUUUAAAUAUUUCGGGUACAAAUCCCUUAUCAGACACAUGAUUUGCAAAUAUUUUCUCCCAGUCUGUGGUUGUCUUCUCACUGUCUUGAUAGUGUCCUAUGACGUAUGGAAGUUUUAAAUGUUGAUGAAAUGGAUGGAUGGCUUAAAAGACACAAACAGCUAAAACUCACCAAAGAAGAAAUAGAAAAUGUGACUGAUCAUUUGCCAAAUGAACUAAAUUUAUAGUUUAAAACCC